UGGGGAGUCGUCUAAUGGUAGGACAUACGGUUCUGGUCCGUAGAGUAGGGGUUCGAAUCCUCUCUCCCCAGCCA
This 74-nucleotide transfer RNA is filed under the name Actinomycetota bacterium. RNAcentral describes it as "Actinobacteria bacterium tRNA-Gln". It matches the Rfam family "tRNA". From Rfam's summary of the family: Transfer RNA (tRNA) molecules are approximately 80 nucleotides in length. Their secondary structure includes four short double-helical elements and three loops (D, anti-codon, and T loops). Further hydrogen bonds mediate the characteristic L-shaped molecular structure. tRNAs have two regions of fundamental functional importance: the anti-codon, which is responsible for specific mRNA codon recognition, and the 3' end, to which the tRNAs corresponding amino acid is attached (by aminoacyl-tRNA synthetases). tRNAs cope with the degeneracy of the genetic code in two manners: having more than one tRNA (with a specific anti-codon) for a particular amino acid; and 'wobble' base-pairing, i.e. permitting non-standard base-pairing at the 3rd anti-codon position. The record is from RNAcentral. RNAcentral also lists the same sequence under 1 other name. Lineage: Bacteria; Bacillati; Actinomycetota.